Molecule: ribosomal RNA, 539 nt
Filed under: uncultured bacterium
Lineage: Bacteria
Description: bacterial SSU rRNA
Rfam family: Bacterial small subunit ribosomal RNA
Source: RNAcentral
UAGGGAAUAUUCCACAAUGAGCGAAAGCUUGAUGGAGCGACACAGCGUGCACGAUGAAGGUCUUAUGGAUUGUAAAGUGCUGUUGCAAGGGAAGAAAAAGUAGUUAAGGAAAUGCUUCUACAUUGACGGUACCUUGUUAGAAAGCGAUGGCUAACUAUGUGCCAGCAGCCGCGGUAAUACAUAGGUCGCAAGCGUUAUCCGGAAUUAUUGGGCGUAAAGCGUUCGUAGGCUGUUUAUUAAGUCUGGAGUCAAAUCCCAGGGCUCAACCCUGGCUCGCUUUGGAUACUGGUAAACUAGAGUUGGAUAGAGGUAAGCGGAAUUCCAUGUGAAGCGGUGAAAUGCGUAGAUAUAUGGAAGAACACCAAAGGCGAAGGCAGCUUACUGGGUUUAUACUGACGCUGAGGAACGAAAGCGUGGGGAGCAAACAGGAUUAGAUACCCUGGUAGUCCACGCCGUAAACGAUGAUCAUUAGUCGGCAGAGAACUGUUGACGCAGCUAACGCAUUAAAUGAUCCGCCUGAGUAGUAUGCUCGCAAGAGU